This is a transfer RNA of 73 nucleotides. It matches the Rfam family "tRNA". From Rfam's summary of the family: Transfer RNA (tRNA) molecules are approximately 80 nucleotides in length. Their secondary structure includes four short double-helical elements and three loops (D, anti-codon, and T loops). The record is from Rfam.
GGGCGUGUGGCGUAGUUGGUAGCGCGCUCCCCUUGCAAGGGAGAGGUCUUGGGUUCGAUUCCCAACUCGUCCA